RNAcentral lists this transfer RNA (67 nucleotides) under Dalbulus maidis (maize leafhopper). RNAcentral describes it as "tRNA-Met". Lineage: Eukaryota; Metazoa; Arthropoda; Insecta; Hemiptera; Cicadellidae. The record is from RNAcentral.
GAAGAGAUAAGCUAAGAAAGCUAUUAGGUUCAUACCCUAAACAUAGAAAAUGUGAUUCUUCUCUUUA